Quercus lobata is the source of this 383-nucleotide long non-coding RNA. RefSeq lists it as uncharacterized. The transcript has 3 exons. The record is from RefSeq and is a predicted model, not a curated record. Lineage: Eukaryota; Viridiplantae; Streptophyta; Magnoliopsida; Fagales; Fagaceae.
UGCAACUCUAUGUAGAAGGAUCAGUGACUUAGUUGGAGAGGGUUCAAAAUUUCCAAACUUAAGUAGCAUGACAGUGCUGAAAAGAUUGAUGUUCAGGAGCUGUAAUAUCUCUGGACCAAUUCCUACAUAUAUAUCAAACAUGACAGAACUUCAAAUCCUAGAUCUCAGCUUCAACAGAUUGGAUGGAAUGGUUCCAGAUUUUGGUGGUCUAAAAAAAUUGAAAUACUUGUAAUCUUCACGGCCAAACCUUUAACAUAGUUCAAUUGUAAAAUAAAUUCAAAUAAAUAAUUGGCCAGCUAAAGCACCAAUGAUAUGUAACCAGGUUUGGCUUUUGGCCAACAUCUACGGGUGAAUCUGCAAUGAACUUCACUCUGCAUACACUU